AAAGGAGCAGGUAGGACGCCGUUGAACUGGGAAACAAGGGCUGGCAUUGCCCUUGGAGCUGCACACGGGAUAGCCUACCUUCAUGCACAAGGGCCCUCAGUAUCACAUGGCAACAUUAAGUCAUCCAAUAUCCUUCUCACCAAAUCAUACGAGGCCCGUGUUUCAGAUUUUGGCCUUGCUCAACUCGUUGGUCCAUCAUCAACUCCUAACCGUGUUGCAGGUUACAGGGCACCAGAGGUAACUGACCCUCGUAAAGUUUCCCAGAAAGCAGAUGUCUACAGCUUUGGCGUCUUGUUGUUGGAACUUCUAACAGGUAAGGCUCCCACACAUUCGGUUAUGAAUGAGGAAGGUGUCGACCUACCAAGAUGGGUGCAAUCAGUGGUACGAGAAGAAUGGACAGCUGAAGUCUUUGACCUCGAGCUCCUUAGGUACCAAAACGUCGAGGAGGACAUGGUCCAGCUAUUGCAAGUUGCAGUUGAUUGCACUGCUCAGUACCCGGACAGACGCCCUUCAAUGGCUGAGGUCACUAGUCGCGUUGAAGAACUCUGUCGUAUGGAUUCUGGAGGUGACAUA
RNAcentral lists this unclassified non-coding RNA (573 nucleotides) under Hevea brasiliensis (rubber tree). Lineage: Eukaryota; Viridiplantae; Streptophyta; Magnoliopsida; Malpighiales; Euphorbiaceae. The record is from RNAcentral.